This 492-nucleotide ribosomal RNA is filed under the name uncultured bacterium. RNAcentral describes it as "partial 16S ribosomal RNA". It matches the Rfam family "Bacterial small subunit ribosomal RNA", at positions 29 to 507 of the family's 1533-position model. The record is from RNAcentral.
AGUGAACGCUGGCGGUAGGCCUAACACAUGCAAGUCGAACGGCAGCACAGUAAGAGCUUGCUCUUACGGGUGGCGAGUGGCGGACGGGUGAGGCAUACAUCGGAAUCUACUUUUUCGUGGGGGAUAACGUAGGGAAACUUACGCUAAUACCGCAUACGACCUACGGGUGAAAGCAGGGGAGCUUCGGACCUUGCGCGAUUGAAUGAGCCGAUGUCGGAUUAGCUAGUUGGCGGGGUAAAGGCCCACCAAGGCGACGAUCCGUAGCUGGUCUGAGAGGAUGAGCCGCCACACGGGAACUGAGACACGGUCCAGACUCCUACGGGAGGCAGCAGUGGGGAAGAUUGGACAAUGGGCGCAAGCCUGAUCCAGCAAUACCGCGUGGGUGAAGAAGGCCUUCGGGUUGUAAAGCCCUUUUGUUGGGAAAGAAAAGCAGCAGGUUAAUACCCCGCUGUUCUGACGGUACCCAAAGAAUAAGCACCGGCUAACUUCGUG